GGGGGGCGUGGGCGAAGUUCGUCCGCGGGACUCGGAAUGGCACCAUACUUGGCGGGCGGCCUCCGUGUGCCAAAAAUAGGCCACGGGCACAGCCGCGCCCAAAAAUCAGCCCCCGAAGGUCGGGGUCCCAAGACCCCCUAGCGGAAAAAUGGCCAAAAAACGGGUGGGCUAUAGCCUUGGGGGGGGGGGGAGGGCAAAUUUCGUCCGCGGGACUCGGAAUGGCACCGUUCUUGGCGGGCGGCCUCCGUGUGCCAAAAAUAGGGCACGGACACAGCCGCGCCCAAAAAUCAGCCCCCGAAGGUCGGGGUCCCAAGACCCCCCAGCGGAAAAAUGGCCAAAAAAAGGGUGGGCUAUAGCCUUGGUGGGGGGCGUGGGCGAAGUUCGUCCGCGGGACUCGGAAUGGCCCCAGACUUGGCGGGUGGCCUCCGUGUACCAAAAAUAGGCCACGGGCACAGCCGCGCCCAAAAAUCAGCCCCCGAAGGUCGGGGUCCCAAGACCCCCCAGCGGAAAAAUGGCCAAAAAACGGGUAGGCUAUAGCCUUGGAGGGGGGCGUGGGCGAAGUUCGUCCGCCGGACUCGGAAUGGCCCCAGACUUGGCGGACGGCCUCCGUGUGCCAAAAAUAGGCCACGGGCACAGCCGCGCCCAAAAAUCUGCCCCCGAAGGUCGGGGUCCCAAGACCCCCCAGCGGAAAAAUUGCCAAAAAACGGGUGGGCUAUAGCCUUGGAGGGGGGCGUGGGCGAAGUUCGUCCGCCGGACUCGGAAUGGUCCCAGACUUGGCGGGUGGCCUCCGUGUGCCAAAAAUAGGCCACGGGCACAGCCGCUCCCAAAAAUCAGCCCCCGAACGUCGGCGUCCCAAGACCCCCCAGCGGAAAAAUGGGCAAAAAACGGGUGGGCUAUAGCCUUGGUGGGGGGCGUGGACGAAGUUCGUCCGCGGGACUCGGAAUGGCACCAUACUUGGCGGGCAGCCUCCGUGUGCCAAAAAUAGGCCACGGGCACAGCCGCGCCCAAAAAUCAGCCCCCGAAGGUCGGGGUCCCAAGACCCCCCAGCGGAAAAAUGGCCAAAAAACGGGUGGGCUAUAGCCUUGGAGGGGGGCGUGGGCGAAGUUCGUCCGCCGGACUCGGAAUGGCCCCAGACUUGGCGGGCGGCCUCCGUGUGCCAAAAAUAGGCCACGGGCACAGCCGCACCCAAAAAUCAGCCCCCGAAAGUCGGGGUCCCAAGGCCCUCCAGCGGAAAAAUGGCCAAAAAAAGGGUGGGCUAUAGCCUAUGUGGGGGGCGUGGGCGAAGUUCGUCCGCGGGACUCGGAAUGGCACCAUACAUGCCAGGCGGCCUCCGUGUGCCAAAAAUAGGCCACGGGCACAGCCGCGCCCAAAACUCAGCCCCCGAAGGUCGGGGUUCCAAGACCCCCCAGCGGAAAAAUGGCCAAAAAACGGGUGGGCUAUAGCCUUGGCGGGGGGCGUGGGCGAAGUUCGUCCGCGGGACUCGGAAUGGCACCAGACUUGGCGGGCGGCCUCCGUGUGCCAAAAAUAGACCACGGGCACAGCCGCGCCCAAAAAUCAGCCCCCGAUGGUCGGGGUCCCAAGACCCCCCAGCGGAAAAAUGGCCAAAAAAAGGGUGGGCUAUAGCCUUGGUGGGCGGCGUGGGCGAAGUUCGUCCGCGGGACUCGGAAUGGCACCAGACUUGGCGGGCGGCCUCCGUGUGCCAAAAAUAGGCCACGGGCACAGCCGCUCCCAAAAAUCAGCCCCCGAACGUCGGCGUGGGCGAAGUUCGUCCGCGGGACUCGGAAUGGCCCCAGACUUGGCGGGCGGCCUCCGUGUGCCAAAAAUAGGCCACGGGCACAGCCGCGCCCAAAAAUUAGCCCCCGAAGGUCGGGGUCCCAAGACCCCCCUGCGGAAAAAUGGCCAAAAAACGGGUGGGCUAUAGCCUUGGCGGGGGGCGUGGGCGAAGUUCGUCCGCGGGACUCGGAAUGGCACCAGACAUGGCGGGCGGCCUCCGUGUGCCAAAAAUAGGCCACGGGCACAGCCGCGCCCAAAAAUCAGCCCCCGAUGGUCGGGGUCCCAAGACCCCCCAGCGGAAAAAUGGCCAAAAAAAGGGUGGGCUAUAGCCUUGGGGGGGGGCGUGGGCGACGUUCGUCC
This 2133-nucleotide long non-coding RNA is filed under the name Citrus x clementina. Its description in RNAcentral is "Citrus clementina (C. clementina) long non-coding RNA (CCLE_LNC006131)". Lineage: Eukaryota; Viridiplantae; Streptophyta; Magnoliopsida; Sapindales; Rutaceae. The record is from RNAcentral.